This is a long non-coding RNA of Lycium ferocissimum, 1191 nucleotides long. RefSeq lists it as uncharacterized. NCBI's taxonomy places the organism in Eukaryota, Viridiplantae, Streptophyta, Magnoliopsida, Solanales, Solanaceae. The record is from RefSeq and is a predicted model, not a curated record. The transcript has 2 exons.
GUACCUGAUGCUAUAGGAAGUUUGUAUCAGCUCAAGUUCUUAAGAUUGAGAGGUAUUAAUGAUCUCCCCACCAACAUUGGCAACCUCAAGAACUUACAGACACUUCUUGUCAAUGAUUACGGAUACUCAUGCCAACUACCCCGCGAGACAGCUGACCUAAUAAAUCUAAGACAUUUAGUUGUUCCGCAUUCAAAACCUCUGAAACGUAUAAGCAAACUCAUAAGUCUUCAAGUUCUUAAAGGCAUUUGUUGUGAUCAAUGGAAAGGUGUUGACCCUGUUGAUUUAGUCAAUCUUCGAGAAUUAAGCAUGCAUCAUAUUACAAAUUCUUACUCCCUAAACAACAUUAGCAACUUGAAAAACCUUACCUCUCUCAGAUUGUUGUGUAAGGAUGAUGAAUCAUUCCCAGCCCUUGAAUUUCUUAGUGCUUGUCAAACGCUCCACAAAUUGUGGUUACAGGGGAGAAUAGAAAAACUGCCCGUCGGACCCUUUCCCAACUUCUAUCACAAUAAUGUACCUUUGUGACUCAAAACUCAUGGAAGAUCCGAUGCCUAUUCUGGGACUGAUGCCAAAUCUAAGGAAUCUCGAUAUAUUUAGAGCUUAUGAAGGAAAAGAAAUUACCUGCAGCGAGCUUCAGUCAACUGGAGUUCCUUCAUCUUGAUUGUCUUGAGAACCUAGAAAGCUGGCAUUUAGCCACAAGUGCCAUGCCUCAGAUUAAAGGUCUUGGUAUCCAUCGUUGUCCAAAGCUAAAUGAGAUUCCCAAGAGAAUGGAAGGCGUGGAGAGAACUCAUCUUCGAUGAAGCUUUUCAAGCAUAUAUGUUGUCCUAUUUCUGCCUCUUUCAUCAUAAUAGAGGAGAAGAAGCUGUCAGUGGAAAUAUAAAAGGGCCAAUGAGGGUAAGAGCAUUUGAAGAUUUUCGCAUUGAUGAAGUUGGAUGGUAAAGGAAUUAAUCAGGGCUGUCAACCUUCAGUUUUUUGUUUUGGUUUUUGAGUGUUUAAUUUCAUUUUUUGAUUUUUUGAGUGAGUGGAAUUUGUUUGAAGAGAAUUGUUUUUGGGAUUGUGCACAAAAAUUAUCUUGCUUAUCCACAUCUAAGACAAUGCUUUGUGUAAUAUGUUCCAGCAUCCGUAUGUGCUGCAGUUAGAGAACAUCUAUUUUGCAUACUCUAUUCCACCUGAUGCCAUAGGCAACUUGGCCUA